GUAGGUGGCAAGCGUUGUCCGGAAUUAUUGGGCGUAAAGCGCGCGCAGGCGGUUCUUUAAGUCUGAUGUGAAAGCCCACGGGCUCAACCGUGGAGGGUCAUUGGAAACUGGAGAACUUGAGUACAGAAGAGGAAAGCGGAAUUCCACGUGUAGCGGUGAAAUGCGUAGAGGUGUGGAGGAACACCAGUGGCGAAGGCGGCUUUCUGGUCUGUAACUGACGCUGAGGCGCGAAAGCGUGGGGAGCAAACAGGAUUAGAUACCCUGGUAGUCCACGCCGUAAACGAUGAGUGCUAAGUGUUAGGGGGUUUCCGCCCCUUAGUGCUGCAGCUAACGCAUUAAGCACUCCGCCUGGGGAGUACGGCCGCAAAGGCUG
Molecule: ribosomal RNA, 373 nt
Filed under: uncultured organism
Description: partial 16S ribosomal RNA
Rfam family: Bacterial small subunit ribosomal RNA
Source: RNAcentral